This 268-nucleotide long non-coding RNA is filed under the name Brassica rapa (field mustard). Its description in RNAcentral is "long non-coding RNA (BRAP_LNC001991)". The record is from RNAcentral. Lineage: Eukaryota; Viridiplantae; Streptophyta; Magnoliopsida; Brassicales; Brassicaceae.
UUCACAAAGUAUUUUUUUAUUAUUUUUUUACUGUUUGAUUUUUGUUUUAAAAAAAACAAAAAAAAAAAUAAUUAAUCGGAUCAAUCGCGGGCCGCCACGUGUCGUGAAGCCCGCGCUACAGUGAUGAACCAGGUUCACUGAAAAGAGCUGGGGAGAGACAGGUUCAUCACUAUUCAUUAUUAUAAUAUUUUCUUUUUUUUUUGAAUCUGUGUAAACCCCCCCCCUCAUAAAUUCACUAAUAGGGGUGCUCUUACUAACUGGACAAUUA